This 497-nucleotide ribosomal RNA is filed under the name uncultured bacterium. Its description in RNAcentral is "partial 16S ribosomal RNA". It matches the Rfam family "Bacterial small subunit ribosomal RNA", at positions 28 to 507 of the family's 1533-position model. The record is from RNAcentral.
GAUGAACGCUGGCGGCGUGCCUAAUACAUGCAAGUCGAGCGAACGGACGAGAAGCUUGCUUCUCUGAUGUUAGCGGCGGACGGGUGAGUAACACGUGGAUAACCUACCUAUAAGACUGGGAUAACUUCGGGAAACCGGAGCUAAUACCGGAUGAUAUUUUGAACCGCAUGGUUCAAAAGUGAAAGACGGUCUUGCUGUCACUUAUAGAUGGAUCCGCGCUGCAUUAGCUAGUUGGUAAGGUAACGGCUUACCAAGGCAACGAUGCAUAGCCGACCUGAGAGGGUGGUCGGCCACACUGGAACUGAGACACGGUCCAGACUCCUACGGGAGGCAGCAGUAGGGAAUCUUCCGCAAUGGGCGAAAGCCUGACGGAGCAACGCCGCGUGAGUGAUGAAGGUCUUCGGAUCGUAAAACUCUGUUAUUAGGGAAGAACAAAUGUGUAAGUAACUGUGCACAUCUUGACGGUACCUAAUCAGAAAGCCACGGCUAACUACGUG